UACGUAGGCAGCAAGCGUUGUUCGGAGUUACUGGGCGUAAAGGGUGCGUAGGUGGCUCUAUAAGUAUGGUGUGAAAUCUCCCGGCUUAACUGGGAGGGUGCGCCGUAGACUGUGGGGCUAGAGUGUGGGAGAGGAAAGUGGAAUUCCUGGUGUAGCGGUGAAAUGCGUAGAUAUCAGGAGGAACACCGGUGGUGUAAACGGCUUUCUGGACCAUAACUGACACUGAGGCAACGAAAGCCGUGGGUAGCAACAGG
RNAcentral lists this ribosomal RNA (254 nucleotides) under uncultured bacterium. RNAcentral describes it as "partial 16S ribosomal RNA". It matches the Rfam family "Bacterial small subunit ribosomal RNA", at positions 524 to 776 of the family's 1533-position model. The record is from RNAcentral.